AAAAGCGGAGGAAAAGAAACCAACCGGGAUUGCCUUAGUAACGGCGAGUGAAGCGGCAAAAGCUCAAAUUUGAAAUCUGGUACCUUCGGUGCCCGAGUUGUAAUUUGGAGAGGGCAACUUUGGGGCCGUUCCUUGUCUAUGUUCCUUGGAACAGGACGUCAUAGAGGGUGAGAAUCCCGUGUGGCGAGGAGUGCGGUUCUUUGUAAAGUGCCUUCGAAGAGUCGAGUUGUUUGGGAAUGCAGCUCUAAGUGGGUGGUAAAUUCCAUCUAAAGCUAAAUAUUGGCGAGAGACCGAUAGCGAACAAGUACAGUGAUGGAAAGAUGAAAAGAACUUUGAAAAGAGAGUGAAAAAGUACGUGAAAUUGUUGAAAGGGAAGGGCAUUUGAUCAGACAUGGUGUUUUGUGCCCUCUGCUCCUUGUGGGUAGGGGAAUCUCGCAUUUCACUGGGCCAGCAUCAGUUUUGGUGGCAGGAUAAAUCCAUAGGAAUGUAGCUUGCCUCGGUAAGUAUUAUAGCCUGUGGGAAUACUGCCAGCUGGGACUGAGGACUGCGACGUAAGUCAAGGAUGCUGGCAUAAUGGUUAUAUGCCGCCCGUCUUGAAACACGGACCAA
RNAcentral lists this ribosomal RNA (609 nucleotides) under Saccharomyces cerevisiae (brewer's yeast). RNAcentral describes it as "eukaryotic LSU rRNA". It matches the Rfam family "Eukaryotic large subunit ribosomal RNA", at positions 46 to 669 of the family's 3401-position model. The record is from RNAcentral. Lineage: Eukaryota; Fungi; Ascomycota; Saccharomycetes; Saccharomycetales; Saccharomycetaceae.